Molecule: transfer RNA, 73 nt
Filed under: Stichococcus bacillaris
Lineage: Eukaryota; Viridiplantae; Chlorophyta; Trebouxiophyceae; Prasiolales; Stichococcaceae
Description: tRNA-Pro
Rfam family: tRNA
About the family: Transfer RNA (tRNA) molecules are approximately 80 nucleotides in length. Their secondary structure includes four short double-helical elements and three loops (D, anti-codon, and T loops).
Source: RNAcentral
CGAGACGUAGCGCAGUUGGUAGCGCUUCUGUUUUGGGAACAGAAGGUCGCAGGUUCGAAUCCUGUCGUCUCGA